UUUAAGAGAAAUCAUAAAUUUUCCAUGUCUAACUUUGAUCGUUCAUCUUAUUUGAAAUUUAUUAUGAUUAGUAUUUUUGUUGUUAUUAGAUGAUAAAACAUGAAUAGAACUUUAUGUGUGACUUAUCUUAUGUUUUUUAAUUUUUUUAAAAAAAUUUAAAUAUGACGGACGAUUAAAGUUAGACACGAAAACUCAUGGUUACACUUAAA
Oryza punctata is the source of this 209-nucleotide non-coding RNA. Lineage: Eukaryota; Viridiplantae; Streptophyta; Magnoliopsida; Poales; Poaceae. The record is from Rfam.